AGUCCCAGACGGGCUUUUCCCAGAGAGCUAAAAUGGCUUUUUUUUCUCUCGCCUGGGGUCAAAGGAGAAGGGCCAGAGAAUGUCGUCCCAGCCAGCAGGGAACCAGACCUCCCCCGGGGCCACAGAGGACUACUCCUAUGGCAGCUGGUACAUCGAUGAGCCCCAGGGGGGUGAGGAGCUCCAGCCAGAGGGGGAAGUGCCCUCCUGCCACACCAGCGUACCACCCGGCCUGUACCACGCCUGCCUGGCCUCGCUGUCAAUCCUCGUGCUGCUGCUCCUGGCCGUGCUGGUGAGGCGCCGCCAGCUCUGGCCUGACUGUGUGCGUGGCAGGCCCGGCCUGCCCAGCCCUGUGGAUUUCUUGGCUGAGGACAGGCCCCGGGCAGUGCCUGCUGCUGUUUUCAUGGUCCUCUUGAGCUCCCUGUGUUUGCUGCUCCCCGACGAGGAUCCAUUGCCCUUCCUGACUCUCGCCUCAGCACCCAGCCAAGAUGGGAAAACUGAGGCUCCAAGAGGUAACUUGCCCAAGAUCACAGAGUUGAGACUAGUCAGAGCCUGGAUUUGAACCUAGUGUUCUUGCCC
This 576-nucleotide small RNA is filed under the name Pan troglodytes (chimpanzee). Its description in RNAcentral is "retained intron". Lineage: Eukaryota; Metazoa; Chordata; Mammalia; Primates; Hominidae. The record is from RNAcentral.